This is a microRNA precursor of Colobus angolensis palliatus, 79 nucleotides long. The record is from Ensembl. Lineage: Eukaryota; Metazoa; Chordata; Mammalia; Primates; Cercopithecidae.
UUAGGUUCGUGCAAAAGUAAUCGCUAUUUUUGCCAUUACGCUCAAUGGCAAAAACCGUGAUUACUUUUGCACCAACCUA